This is a long non-coding RNA of Pan troglodytes (chimpanzee), 5148 nucleotides long. RefSeq lists it as uncharacterized. The transcript is spliced from 3 exons. The record is from RefSeq and is a predicted model, not a curated record. NCBI's taxonomy places the organism in Eukaryota, Metazoa, Chordata, Mammalia, Primates, Hominidae.
CACUUGUCCUUUAACAAAAUUUAAUGCAAAUUCUGUAAUAAAGAAAAAUAUUGAUGUAAGUAUACUCUGCCAUCUGCUUCCUUUCUCUAUGCCAUGCCAUACUGAUUUCAAUAGACCAGGUCAAAACUGAGUGUUUCCUGCUUUCAAGGUUGACCUCUGAAGGUCUCCUACUGUUUCGUCUCCUUGCUCCCUGGGGAGAGCCGCUAAGUCUUUCGAUGACAGCUGAAGGCAGGAUAAAAUAAAAUCUCCAUUUGACAUGCUUAUAAAUCAGUUUUCCUAUGGGACAAGAUUGUUGGUGUUGGGUGCUCAUUGAAAAUAGUCUUACUGAUCAGAAAACUAAGACAAUUGGUUCUUUAUUCACCUGAGGAUUCAGAUUGACUAAUCGAAGAUGAAUUCAUCUUGUAAUCUUUUAAAAAUAUGACAAAUGAUUAAAAAAAACUUUUGUGGAAGAUGUCUGCAGAAGUUUCUAAUUUCAGAUUCAAUCUGAUUUUCAGAAAUGAUAUUUUGAUCUUGGGCUUGAGGGUCAUAAUUUCCUCUUUAAAAUGGACAUUAAAAUUCAGCACACAUUUGGAGUACAAGGAAGGGUGAUGAUCACAGAUAAGUUUUUCUUAUAAUUUUUUUCUAUUUGAAUAUAUCUUAUUUCAAAAGAGAAUUCUUGCUUUUAAUUUUGGAUACAGUGUAGGCUAAAUCCAACACUGUGGCAUCUUGACUACGGUGGCCUGCUCAAUUAAUUCUGAACAGUAAAUUGCCUUUGACAGGUCUUCAGGUAGCUGGGUAAGAAGCGGCAAGGAAAACAAAGGGUCCUGGUAAUUGAAAACAACUGGUAAGGAUUGUUUUCUUUUUCUUUUCCUUCAUCUUCUUCCUAAUCGAUGUGCUGAUUUGUAUAUGAACCUACAGAUGAGUCAAACCUAAGCAUUCGGCAUUGGGAGCACUGUCACUAAAACUGCAGCCUCAUUCAACAACACAUCCUUAUCGAGCACUUGCAGGUACUCCAUUGAAUGUUAGAAAUGCAUUGAUGAUGGAGACACAGCACCGGCUCAUGAGGACCUUCCAGCCUAGGCAGCAGGACUGGACAUACGCACUUUGAUUUAUUUUUAGAAAUUGGCUUAUGCAAGUGUGGGGCUGGCAAGUCUAACAACUGCAGGGCAGGUCAGGAGGCUGGAGACCCAGGGAAGAGUUGAUGCUGCAGUCUCUAGUCUGAAGGCAGUGCAGAGGCAGAAUUCCCUCUUUCUCGGAGGAUCUCAGGCUUUUUCUCCUAAGUCCUUCAACCAAGUGGAUGAGGCCACCCGCAUUAGAGAAGGAUGUGGAAGUCAGCUGCCUGGGAAUAGUCUGAGGAAAGAGAACCAAGUGAAGGUAACUUAUCCAUAGAGGCACUGACCCCAGAGAUUCACCUUAUUACACCUGGAUCUGGUUUAAGUACAAAAAUGUGGGUCUUUGUGAUUUCUCCACGUUCACACAGCCCAUACAUAGGUGUCAGGAGUCAAACUUGAACCCUGCUCCAGAGCGUUCUUGUGACUUUGGAGAUCAUAGAUUUGUAAGCAUGCCUGUGUGAGCUACGCCAUGCACAUCGUUUAGGACAGCACCUGGUACACAGCAAGCACUCAGCAGGGUCACUUAUUGUAGUCCUCGCUCGUUAGGAGGCAGGUGUGGAAUGAGUGAGGCAGGAGGUGCUGGAGGGGAUUUGCAGUCUGGAUGUUGCUGGGGCUGGGGCUGGGGCUGGGGCUGAAGCAUCAGAGAUGGCUUGGAUGACCUCCCCAGUCUCUCCAGCUGUGGAACUCAAACAGCUCCAGCUAGGAAGCUGUGUUUGAGUCAUGGGGGCAGAUGAGCAUUUUUCUUAAUUGAGCAGGAGCUAAUGAGAGCUGUAUUUCUUUGAAUCUGCUCAUUGGAUGAGAACAAACAUUAAUGACCACUGAGCUGGAAAGGCCAGAUACAAUUUACCAAAUGAGAGAGCAUCUUCCCCCAUCAGUUAUAAAACCGUGUGCAGAGGACCGGGGCAUAUUUUCCAACAGCGAAAGUCCAUCAGCAGCUACGGUGUUAAAUGCAGAGCGAAGGACCCAUAAACUGGCAGCCGCGUGUGAAGCAAUUAGAUGUGGCACUGCCCCCGCAGCCACGUUCCAGCAGCCGCCUCUGUUGGAGCUUUCAAGGCUCAGCAACUCUUAGGAUGACAGAGGAAUAAUAAUGCGCUGGUUUUCUUUGCGGACACAAAGCAGGCUGCAUUGGGGGAGCUCCUCUCUCCUAAUGGCAGCAAGAUUCAGAAGCCAUCCUCACCUGGAUCUCGAGGGAGGGGCAGAGCUAAGUUCUCCCUGGGUGGCACCUCUGACCAGCUCCCUCUGCCAAAACAGACUACAUAAUCUGCUGAUGGCCAAAAUGAAGGACAUUGGACACACCUGGUGAGAAACCCAGACUCCAGCAGAAGUAAUAGUGCUCUGGCUGGCUUCUUCUCCUUUUUUUUUUUUUUUUUUUCCAAAAAGAAGCCAUCUCACUAUGUUGCUUAGGCUGGCCUCAAACAAGUGAUUCUCCUUCCUCAGCCUCCCAAGGAGCUGGGACUAUAGGCACUCACCACUGUGCCCAGCUUCCUUGUUUUUAAUGGUGUACACAAUCUACCAUUUCACAUUUUACAUCUCCCAUUUCACCAAGUGCCUAGUUUUUUUACUCUAGCUUAGUAGCCCGGAGAGUAUUCCUAAGUCACUGGGGCUCAGUGAGGUUGGUGGUUAUUUGAAUAGGUUUCUGAGAUGGUAUAGUUAGCUUGGUUAAUUCCUUCCCUUAAAUGCCCAUAAUUUGAGGUAUUAAGGAUAUUGACAUUAGCCCCAAAGAGAACUGGUCAGGGUAAUGUCUGGGCAUGGAGGAAGAAUGAAGGCAGAAUAUUAUGGGGUUUCUCUUUCUCCUUUUUCUGACUAUCUCCUUCGAGAGCUUGGAGCAUGAGUGAGUCCUGUUGACUGGAUUUUUAAGGGAGAAGGUGAGGCCAGGACUAAACCAAUCACAUUCCUUGGAUCCUCUUGUGGGAGCUCGGUCCUUCUGUUCAACACACAGCCCAUACUCAUGUACCUGUUGCUGGGGAAAAGAUCUUUCCUCUGGAUGGCUUCUUAAUUUCUGAUGGGCCAUCAAUUUGGAUAUGGCCCUGGGUGUGUGGUGUGGGUGUGUCUGAGUGGGCGUCACUUUUUCACCAGGAGCAAGCCUGCCUGCCCUGUCUGCUGCAUGCUCCUGGCCAAGGGGCCACUGCCGUCCCUGCCCCAAGGCCUCUCCUGCUCCACUCCACAUCCUGAAAGCUGCUUGCCUUCAGGGUCCUAAUGGUGCCAAGAAUCCUCUGAAGUUUCUGAGAAGAGUGGGUUGGAAAGGGGCGAGGGGCUCCUGUGUUACCCAGGUACUGGGAGCAUGGUCGCCUGUGUGGCCGAGGCAGCAUUGCUCAGUAGUUGAGUUGAUCAUCUCUCCUAGAAUCUUGGCUCCACCUCUUACUCUGUGUCUUUGGGGGAACUACUUACCUUCUCUGUACCUUGGUUUCCAUAUCUGUAAAAUAUGGAUAAUAGUAGUACCUACUAUUGUUAUGUCAUGAAAAUUAAGUGACAGCAUGUAUGUAAAGUGAUUAGAAAGGUGCCUUCAGUGCCUUCUGUAGAAGGAGACCCCCCUCUCCUGCCACCACAGCUGCCCAUUCUUUAACAUUGCUACCUCAUGCUCUUAUCUGACUUCUUUCUAGGGCUCAAAUCUGGUCUGGGUGGGAUGGGGCGGGGCAGGGAGGAAGGGGGACAGCUGCCAGGUUGUCUCAGGCUCGGCCUCCUUUCUUCCCUUUGCACACAUGACUUCCCUCUCCUCAUUCUGGCACCAAAAACAUUGAUCGGUUCCCAAGCAUAUCAGUGUAUGGACCUGGGUGCCCACAGGGGUCACAGCUCUGCAAACUGCAUGUGUGAAUCCAGCUGGGUCUUGCUGGGCCCCUCUGAACUGUCCUUAGGCCCAUUUUACAUCCAUUGCAGCCUUCUGGGGCCUUCUCGCCCGUUAAAGCCAUCCUGCCAUCUAAAGCCAGUGCCUUGCGUUUGAAUUUCUCUCCCAGGCAUGUUGUCAUGAUCACCAAAAUCGCUCCCAAGCCUUUGCAGAUAUUCUCAGUGCUGCAAUCAGUUUUCCACCGGACACUGUCAGGCCCAGUCCAAUAUUUAUCAGCUAUGCCUCAAAAGGCUGUUUCCUUCCAGAAGACCUGUGUACAGGCAACACCGGUUUGUCCCUGUGUUGGGUAGCAUUAGGAUCCUUGCGUGUCCCUCAGUGUUGGGUGGCAUCAGGAUCCUUGCGUGUCCCUCAGUGUUGAGUGGCAUUAUGAUUUGCGUGUCCCUCAGUGUUGGGUGGCAUUAGGAUCCUUGCAGCAGCAGAGCUCCUCAAUCUCCUUCUGUCUAGGAGAGCAUGGGCAUUUUUGUCCUCUCUGUGCCCUGUUUUGACCCUGGGCAUUUUCUAGUCCUACUCUGGUAGAUGGAGGUGAGGACUUUCACUCGCAUCCGUGUGAAGAGACCACCAAACAGGCUUUGUGUGAGCAAUAAAGCUGUUUAUUUCACCUGGGUGCAGGUGGGCUGAGUCCGAAAAGAGAGUCAGCGAAGGGAGAUAGGGGUGGGGCUGUUUGAUAGGAUUUGGGUAGGUAAAGGAAAAUUGCAGUCAAAGGGGGGUUGUUCUCUGGCGGGCAGAGUGGGGGUCACAAGGUGCUCAGUAGGGGAGCUUUUGAGCCAGGAUGAGCCAGGAGAAAGAAUUUCACAAGACAAUGUCAUCAGUUAAGGCAGGAACAGACCAUUUUCACUUCUUUUGUGGUGGAAUGUUGUCAGUUAAGGCAGGAACCGGCCAUCUGGAUGUGUACGUGCAGGUCACAGGGGAUAUGAUGGCUUAGCUUGGGCUCAGAGGCCUGACAUUCCUGUCUUCUUAUAUUAAUAAGAAAAAUAAAAUGAAAUAGUGGUAAAGUGUUGGGACGGUGAAAAUUUUGGGGGGUGGUAUGGAGAGAUAAUGGGCGAUGUUUCUCAGGGCUGCUUUGAGCGGGAUUAGGGGCGGUGUGGGAACCUAGAGUGGGAGAGAUUAUGCUGAAGGAAGAUUUUGUGGUAAGGGGUGAUAUUGUGGGACUGUUAGAAGAAACAUUUGUCAUUUAGAAUUAUUGGUGAUGGCCUGGAUACAGUUUUGUAUGAAUUG